GCAUAGUUGAGGGCUUUUGACAUGAUUGCUCAUUAAAUUGACUUUCUGUGGAUUAUUAUGCAAUAUUCAUAUUUGAUAAUUGAUUUUGAACAUUUUGGGGUGCAUGAGAAUGGUGAAUAAAUUUAGGGAUCAUAUUUAAACCCCAAUUUGAUGAUUUUGCCUUGCUUUAUGGUUUGAAAACAAUAUGCCCUCAACCUAUUUGUAAAAUUGACAAUGAAUAUGAUUUUGUCACAUAGUUGGCUUGUUCAUUUGAACUAAUGCAUUGGUAUAAAAGGUUAUUAAAGCAUGAUUUAAUCUUAUUGAACUUGAGGUAUGUGGAAUUCCCGCACUACAAAAAAUGGGUCUAAUUGCGGGGAGUUUAUUUACUGGGGUUAUUUUAACCUCCAUAAAAUUACAUGAAAUGCGAGCAUUAAAAAUCUAUUGCCAAAAUUUAUAAAUUUAUGGGGUUUUAACCCUCUUUAUCCAUAAAAAAAAAUAGCGGUAAGUAUUGGCAUAAAAAAACACUUUCCCUCUUUUUUUAAUUGGCCAAUAAUUUUCCCCCAAAAUAUUUUUUCUCUGAUUUUCUCCAAAACCCCCAAAUCGAUUGACAACUUUUACCAAAAUCUUAUUCAUUUCAGCGGGAGUGCAUUUGCUAGAAGAUCUCAACCACAAGUUCGUAAGUUAAGCUCCAUUUUGUUUUGAUUUUAGCAUGUUCAUGACCUGUUAUUUUGGAUUCAACUUGUAACACUAACAAUAUAAGCGAUUGAUACUCCAACCGGCCAUUGCUACUCUGGUCGGCCAUUGCUACUCCGGUCGGCCAGCUAAGUCGCACUGCUACCCUCUGGUUUCUCUUUGUUUGUGGUUUAAAGACUUGUCCUUUAUAGUCCUUUAUCACAAAUUGCUUUCCUAGGGCCUUAUUUGCAGAAUAUAUUUUGAUGUAGAGUUUGUGAAUCGAGACUAUGGUGGAGUGUCAAUGGUGUUAUCCAUAAUAUUAAAAAUGAAUGAGUGAAAGAAAUGUGUAUUAAUAGGAGCAAGAUAUGUUGAAUGGAACAAAGAUAGUUGUAAUGAGGGCUAAAGGUACUUCUCCGGUUAGGUGUGUUUGGUAUUAACUAAAGAUUGAUAAUACCCUUAGCAAAUUGGAUUAUAUUUUGAUGAUGUUAUUGAGUAUUAAGAGCUGAUAAUAUAAUCUAAGCACUGGUUGGAGCGAGCGAUAUGGAGUAAGAGUUGAAGUAGUAGUUAAAAGAAAUGACUUGUAUCUCAUAAGUGAGGAGAAGUUUCAUUUCCUCCUUUGUGGAAAACAUUUUUUCUUGGAAAAUAUUUCUAGUAACCAAAGACCAGAAAAUAGCUUCUCAAAUAUGCUUCAUCUUACAAAACACAGCUCAAAAAGACAGCCAGCUAAGGAUCUGGGGCUUAGUCCCGCAGUCCUACUAAGCAGUAGAUCAUUACCAGAUGUUUGAAGUUGGUGAGCCUCCCUUAUUUCAGAAGGCCUUAUUUCAUAUGAUACUUUCAUUGGGGUUUUAGUUUAUGGUCCGACCGAGGGAUUUGUCCCUGUUUCAUACAGAUGUUGUUUUUUGUUUAUUAGAGAUUUUGCAGACUUAUGUUAGAUAGUUUUGGGUCUUUAUGAAUUCAUAACCAUAUCGUUUAGUUGAAAUAAUAAGAUGACCAUGAUUCCAGUUUA
Molecule: RNA transcript, 1657 nt
Organism: Capsicum annuum
Lineage: Eukaryota; Viridiplantae; Streptophyta; Magnoliopsida; Solanales; Solanaceae
Exons: 2
Source: RefSeq, a predicted model, not a curated record